Non-coding RNA from Megalobrama amblycephala (Wuchang bream), 597 nucleotides. The record is from the annotation of a RefSeq genome assembly. NCBI's taxonomy places the organism in Eukaryota, Metazoa, Chordata, Actinopteri, Cypriniformes, Xenocyprididae.
AUUGACAGGAUGAGAUGAACGAGCUCCUCCUGAACCUUCAUUUAGAGCCUCAUUUAAAUACAGAAUGAGUUCAUUUGCAUAUUGAUCAGAUGCUUCAGUGCUCUGAGAGUGUUUAUAGUGCUGUGAGUUUAACACUUCAUCACUGACACACACAACAAUCUUCAUCAACAUGACCUUCAUCAUCAUCUUCAUCUGGACUCUCACAGCGUUUGCUCAAGAGUGUAGAGGACAGAUCACCGUCACUCAGAGUCCCUCAAUGACAGCAGCUCAACCAGGACAAACUGUGAACAUCAACUGUAAAACCAGCAGUAAUGUGUACAAGACUAGUUGGGGGGAGCGUUUGGCCUGGUACUUACAGAAAUCUGGAGAAGCUCCUAAACUCCUCAUAUAUCGAGUAACAGACCGUUACACAGGAACUCCAUCUAGAUUCAGUGGCAGUGGAUCUAACAGUGAUUUCACUCUGACCAUCAGUGGAGUCCAGACUGAAGAUGCUGGACAUUAUUACUGUCAGAGUUUACACUAUCCAAACAGUAACUGGGUGUUCACACAGUGAUAAAGAGUCGUACAAAAACCUCCGUCAGUCAGAGUCACAGUGAC